This 71-nucleotide transfer RNA is filed under the name Heleodromia immaculata. RNAcentral describes it as "tRNA-Lys". The record is from RNAcentral. Lineage: Eukaryota; Metazoa; Arthropoda; Insecta; Diptera; Empididae.
CAUUAAAUGACUGAAAGCAAGUAAUGGUCUCUUAAACCACUCAAUAGUAAAUUAGCAAUUACUUUUAAUGG